AUUGAACGCUGGCGGCGUGCUUAACACAUGCAAGUCGAGCGGUAACAGGUGUAGCAAUACAUGCUGACGAGCGGCGAACGGGUGAGUAAUGCUUCGGAAUCUUCCUCGUAGUGGGGAAUAACCUGGGGAAACUCAGGCUAAUACCGCAUACGAACUACGGUUGAGAGCAGGGGAUCGCAAGACCUUGCGCUAUGAGAUGAGCCGAAGUCGGAUUAGCUAGUUGGUGAGGUAAAGGCUCACCAAGGCGACGAUCCGUAGCUGGUCUGAGAGGACGACCAGCCACACUGGGACUGAGACACGGCCCAGACUCCUACGGGAGGCAGCAGUGGGGAAUAUUGGACAAUGGGGGCAACCCUGAUCCAGCGACGCCGCGUGUGUGAAGAAGGCCUGCGGGUUGUAAAGCACUUUUAGUGGGGAUGAAAAGCCAAGGGUUAAUACCCUUUGGUCUUGACCUAACCCAAAGAAAAAGCACCGGCUAACUCUGUGCCAGCCGCCGCGGUAA
RNAcentral lists this ribosomal RNA (502 nucleotides) under uncultured bacterium. RNAcentral describes it as "partial 16S ribosomal RNA". It matches the Rfam family "Bacterial small subunit ribosomal RNA", at positions 30 to 523 of the family's 1533-position model. The record is from RNAcentral.